Molecule: ribosomal RNA, 474 nt
Filed under: uncultured bacterium
Lineage: Bacteria
Description: partial 16S ribosomal RNA
Rfam family: Bacterial small subunit ribosomal RNA
Source: RNAcentral
GACGAACGCUGGCGGCGUGCUUAACACAUGCAAGUCGAACGGUAAGGCCCUUCGGGGUACACGAGUGGCGAACGGGUGAGUAACACGUGGGUAAUCUGCCCUGCACAUCGGGAUAAGCCUGGGAAACUGGGUCUAAUACCGAAUAGGACCACAGGACACAUGUCCUGUGGUGGAAAGCUUUUGCGGUGUGGGAUGGGCCCGCGGCCUAUCAGCUUGUUGGUGGGGUGAUGGCCUACCAAGGCGACGACGGGUAGCCGGCCUGAGAGGGUGUCCGGCCACACUGGGACUGAGAUACGGCCCAGACUCCUACGGGAGGCAGCAGUGGGGAAUAUUGCUCAAUGGGCGAAAGCCUGAUGCAGCGACGCCGCGUGGGGGAUGACGGCCUUCGGGUUGUAGACCUCUUUCACCAUCGACGAAGGUCCGGGUUUUCUCGGGCUGACGGUAGGUGGAGAAGAAGCACCGGCCAACUACGUG